UGGGGAAUAUUGCACAAUGGGCGCAAGCCUGAUGCAGCAACGCCGCGUGAGGGACGACGGCCUUCGGGUUGUAAACCUCUUUUAGUAGGGAAGAAGCGAAAGUGACGGUACCUGCAGAAAAAGCACCGGCUAACUACGUGCCAGCAGCCGCGGUAAUACGUAGGGUGCGAGCGUUGUCCGGAAUUAUUGGGCGUAAAGAGCUCGUAGGCGGUCUGUCGCGUCUGCUGUGAAAACCCGAGGCUCAACCUCGGGCCUGCAGUGGGUACGGGCAGACUAGAGUGCGGUAGGGGAGAAUGGAAUUCCUGGUGUAGCGGUGGAAUGCGCAGAUAUCAGGAGGAACACCGAUGGCGAAGGCAGUUCUCUGGGCCGUAACUGACGCUGAGGAGCGAAAGCGUGGGGAGCGAACAGGAUUAGAUACCCUGGUAGUCCACGCCGUAAACGUUGGGCGCUAGAUGUGGGGCACCAUUCCACGGUUUCCGUGUCGCAGCUAACGCAUUAAGCGCCCCGCCUGGGGAGUACGGCUGCAAGGCU
This 531-nucleotide ribosomal RNA is filed under the name uncultured bacterium. RNAcentral describes it as "partial 16S ribosomal RNA". It matches the Rfam family "Bacterial small subunit ribosomal RNA", at positions 355 to 895 of the family's 1533-position model. The record is from RNAcentral.